Molecule: microRNA, 19 nt
Filed under: Macaca fascicularis (crab-eating macaque)
Lineage: Eukaryota; Metazoa; Chordata; Mammalia; Primates; Cercopithecidae
Also listed under: 1 other name
Description: microRNA miR-7155-3p
Source: RNAcentral
UGGCCCAAGACCUCAGACC